Long non-coding RNA from Hibiscus syriacus, 741 nucleotides. RefSeq lists it as uncharacterized. The transcript has 4 exons. NCBI's taxonomy places the organism in Eukaryota, Viridiplantae, Streptophyta, Magnoliopsida, Malvales, Malvaceae. The record is from RefSeq and is a predicted model, not a curated record.
UGUGUGUCUAACAGGUCUCUGUAGGUCAAAUCCAUCUGAGUUUGUAGCAUAUUUUCACUACUGCCGAUCUUCGCGGUUUGAAGAUAUGCCAUAUUAUUCAUAUUUGAAGAGGCUUUUCCGAGAUUUGUUUAUAAGAGAAGGUUAUCAAUUUGACUAUAUCUUUGACUGGACUUUAUUAAAGUAACCGCAGAUUUCUAGCAUCUCCAAAGGGAACCAAUCUGGUGUAAAAGCAGGUGCCGAACCAGCAAUUGAAAAACCGUAAAAGCUCCCAGCAUCAGGAUACAGAUAAAAAACGCAGUACUUCUCGGUACGGCAGAACUGCAAGAAGAGCUGUAAUAGUAAGCAGGGCUAGUUCAGCCAGUGAAGUAGAUGACAUUCUGCAAAAUCGACGACUACCAACAAGUGGCCGCAUUCUUAACACACAAAGAGUCCAGCUGGCUAUCGAGGCCAAUGCAGCCCUCAGAGGAAGCCGUUACGAUAGUCCUAUUCGAAGUUUUGAGCUCCUCAAUCUUAAGAAAUGAUGGGCUCCAUCUAGGCUGAUGUUUUUUUUCCAUAACUUCGACUCACACUGUGUAAAUGGGACAUAUAUAGAGCCAUUGUAACAUGUUACUUCCCUUGAGAGUUCCCUUCCCCCAUUACCAAGAUUUUCCCUCCCCUUGAGAUUUCAUAUUAUGUCCAUUGUAACAUGUUGUAGACAUCAUGAAAGAGAAUUCAUGUAUCGGAAUUUUAUUUGUCUUAUGC